Molecule: long non-coding RNA, 519 nt
Filed under: Ananas comosus (pineapple)
Lineage: Eukaryota; Viridiplantae; Streptophyta; Magnoliopsida; Poales; Bromeliaceae
Description: long non-coding RNA (ACOM_LNC031619)
Source: RNAcentral
GAAGCACUUGACAUAGUAAAUUGUGAAACUGCAACAUAAAGAUAUAGUGAUAGACCAUUGAACAUCUGCUAUAUUCCAUGUUAGAGACAUGAUGACAUAGAGAUAGGCCUUUGAGACAUUCGACGUAUAUUCCAUGUUUUUAGACAUUAGGACUUGGUACUUGAGACAGAUCUUUCGCUUGCUUGCCAUUGUGCUCAUUCGCACAUGCUUGUGAGGGUCGCUCCCUACAAGCCGGCACUCCGGAGAUAGCCAUCGCGACAUAUGCUCGCUCAUGCGGGAUUGGGCGCCGAAAUAGGAUGCCGUGGGGGAGGCUCAUUCCUAGAGUGGGGAUGUUGACUACCACGGGGCCAUUAGACACGGCGCAGGCCGGACUACCCACUAGUAGGUCCUACAGGAUUGGAUCAUUGAUGACUUAGCAUACCGACUGGACAUUGACUAGAAUAGUAAACAAGACAUUUUACUAUUUAGCUUGUGGACAUUAUGCUAGUGAUACUUUGGUACAUUCAUGUUAGAAUAGUC